GCGGGUUUGGUCGGGUUGAUUGCAGGUCUGGGGUGCCUGCUUGUUUUGGGUUUCUUCAGUGGGUGGGCCCCUCACCCUAGCCCUCUCC
RNAcentral lists this transfer RNA (88 nucleotides) under Pseudomonas fluorescens. RNAcentral's name for it is "tRNA-Pro". The record is from RNAcentral. Lineage: Bacteria; Pseudomonadati; Pseudomonadota; Gammaproteobacteria; Pseudomonadales; Pseudomonadaceae.